UACGGGGGGGGCAAGCGUUGUUCGGAAUUACUGGGCGUAAAGGGCUCGUAGGCGGCCAACUAAGUCGGAUGUGAAAUCCCCAGGCUCAACUUGGGAACUGCAUCCGAUACUGGAUGGCUUGAAUCCGGGAGAGGGAUGCAGAAUUCCAGGUGUAGCGGUGAAAUGCGUAGAUAUCUGGAGGAAUACCGGUGGCGAAGGCGGCAUCCUGGACCGGCAUUGACGCUGAUGAGCGAAAGCCAGGGGAGCAAACAGGAUUAGAAACCCCGGUAGUCC
RNAcentral lists this ribosomal RNA (273 nucleotides) under uncultured bacterium. RNAcentral describes it as "partial 16S ribosomal RNA". It matches the Rfam family "Bacterial small subunit ribosomal RNA", at positions 524 to 796 of the family's 1533-position model. The record is from RNAcentral.